UACGGAGGGUGCAAGCGUUAUCCGGAUUCACUGGGUUUAAAGGGUGCGUAGGUGGGUCUGUAAGUCAGUGGUGAAAUCUUCGAGCUUAACUCGGAAACUGCCAUUGAUACUAUAGAUCUUGAAUUUUCUGGAGGUAAGCGGAAUAUGUCAUGUAGCGGUGAAAUGCUUAGAUAUGACAUAGAACACCAAUUGCGAAGGCAGCUUACUACGGGAAUAUUGACACUGAGGCUCGAAAGCGUGGGGAUCAAACAGG
This 253-nucleotide ribosomal RNA is filed under the name uncultured bacterium. RNAcentral's name for it is "partial 16S ribosomal RNA". It matches the Rfam family "Bacterial small subunit ribosomal RNA", at positions 524 to 776 of the family's 1533-position model. The record is from RNAcentral.